CAGGAAGUCAGUUAUUUUGAAUUUUCUCUGCAAAAUUUGUGUCGUUUUUGCCAUUUUCAGGGGUUGUACUUUAACGAACUCCUCCUAGAGAUUUAUUCAGAUCAACACCAAACUUUGUCAAUGUAAUCUAAAGGCCUUUGCGAUGUUAAAUUGCGAAGAUCUUGAGGUUUCGUUUAAGGGCGUGUCUGUGGCGGCCUUACAAAUUUCGAUGUUUCGCCAUGAGAAAGGAAGUUGCUAUAACUCAGACAUACAAUGUCCAAUCUGCCCCAAACUUCACAUGUUUGAGAAGACUCCUGACCUGAAUAUAUCUACAUGCCAAUAUUCAGAUAUCGCUAUAGCGCCACCUGCUGGCAACAGGAAGUGACAUGAUUUACGCCGAUACAAACUACUCCUAGAAAUUGUAUGACAUUUUAUAAUUUUUUUUGGUCAAUCUAAUCUAAAGGCCUUUGCGAUGUUAAAUUGUGAACAUCUUGAGGUUUCAUUAAAGGGUGUGGCCAUGGCGCCGUGACAAAGUUCGAUGUCUCGCCAUGGGAAUAGAAGUUAUUGUAACUCAGGCAUAAGAUGUCCGAUCUUCCCCAAACUUCACAUGUUCG
Cyprinus carpio carpio is the source of this 593-nucleotide long non-coding RNA. The record is from Ensembl. NCBI's taxonomy places the organism in Eukaryota, Metazoa, Chordata, Actinopteri, Cypriniformes, Cyprinidae.